GCGCAGCAGUCGAGAAUCGUUCACAAUGGGCGCAAGCCUGAUGGCGCGACGCCGCGUGUGGGAUGGAGGCCUUCGGGUUGUAAACCACUGUCACAGGGGAAGAAAGGCACGGAUGCUAACAUCGUCCGUGUUUGACGUUACCCUGAGAGGAAGCCACGGCUAACUCCGUGCCAGCAGCCGCGGUAAUACGGAGGUGGCAAGCGUUGUUCGGAAUUACUGGGCGUAAAGGGUGCGCAGGCGGUCUGUUGUGUUCGAUGU
This 258-nucleotide ribosomal RNA is filed under the name uncultured microorganism. RNAcentral describes it as "partial 16S ribosomal RNA". It matches the Rfam family "Bacterial small subunit ribosomal RNA", at positions 346 to 595 of the family's 1533-position model. The record is from RNAcentral.